CAAACAGGAAGUUAAUAUCACCAACCAUUCCCGUUUUAUUAAGGUGUAUCCAUAUAAAUGGCCCACCCUGUAUAACCAACCCCCCUUCAGCCAAGAGUUUAUUCACCCUUCCAGGGAGGUCUCCCACCUGUGCGUUUAGAAGGCAGCACACUGUGUCAGACUGUCUCUUGAGCAAACCCAUUUUUGAGGCCUCUCAUCCCUGCCUACCUCUUCAAAGUUUUCAGACUCGCCAUCCAGCUCUGCAAGGACCUGAGAAGGGUUUAAUACUUCCAAUUCUGAGGUUGGUGCCCUUGGAUGGUGUGCACCCUUCAUCUUGUUUCCAUGUGCCACAUUAGGGGUCAGGUCCACCAAUUUUCAACUGCAAUGUAAGCUACCUACCUUCUCUUCUGAUUCAGUGACCCUGAGCUCCAGUUGCUGAAUCAGCUGACAUCACCUACAGACAGAGCCUUCAAGGGGUACAGACACGUCCUCCUUGGCACUCUUCAAAAAGUCUUGCAUCACACAGGGUCAUUGAAUGAUUUUAUAUUCGUCAACCAUGAAUCUGAUCCUAUUUGUCGAUGUGUGUCCUGCUUUAACACCUGUAAGAGUCGCAGCUCAUAUUUAGGCUACAGUGGAACUGUCUGUGCUUCCGUCUGUACUAUGCAAAUAAUCAUUUACACAUCAUGGUCUUUGAGCAAUUUUAUAUUCAUCAGUCAGGAACCUGAACCUGUCCUGCUUUAACAUCUCUAUACGCUGUAGUUGUUAGGUGGACUACAAUGGAGUUGUCUGCACUUCAAGGCUGUACUUGGCAAAUCGCCAUCUUUAUCAUGCAAGGACUUUGAACGAUUUUACAUUCAUCAAUCAGGAACCUAAACCUGUCCUGCUUUAACAUCUCUACACACUGUAGAUAGUAUUUGGGCUACAAAGGAAUUGUCUGCACUUCAAGGCGAUACAGUGUAAAUCGUCAUCUUUGUCAUGCAAAUUCAUCAAUCAGUAACCCGAACCCGAUGUUACUUUAACAUCUCUAUAAGCUGUAGCUGGUAGUUGGACUACAAUGGAAUUGUCUGCACUUCAAGGCUACACUGUGCAAAUCAUCAUCUUUAUCAUGCAGGGACUUUCAACGAUUUUAUAUUCAUUAAUCAGGCUACAAUGGAAUUGUCUGCACUUCAAGGCAAUACAGUGUAAAUCAUCAUCUUUAUCAU
This is a long non-coding RNA of Polypterus senegalus (gray bichir), 1181 nucleotides long. RefSeq lists it as uncharacterized. The transcript has 6 exons. Lineage: Eukaryota; Metazoa; Chordata; Cladistia; Polypteriformes; Polypteridae. The record is from RefSeq and is a predicted model, not a curated record.